GAAAGGCGGGCUAAACCCGCGUACAUGCCACCGGGGCAUCCCGGAGGCAGGAAAGGCUUCGGCCGGACAGGGAUGGGCAUGCGGCGCAUUAGGCAGUAGGCGGGGUAACGGCCCACCUAACCGACGAUGCGUAGGGGUUCUGAGAGGAAGGUCCCCCACACUGGUACUGAGACACGGACCAGACUCCUACGGGAGGCAGCAGUGAGGGAUAUUGGUCAAUGGUCGGGAGACUGAACCAGCCAAGCCGCGUGAGGGAUGAAGGUACAGAGUAUCGUAAACCUCUUUUGUCAGGGAACAAAGGCGGGGACGUGUCCCCGGAUGAGUGUACCUGAAGAAAAAGCAUCGGCUAACUCCGUGCCAGCAGCCGUGGUAAUACGGAGGAUGCGAGCGUUAUCCGGAUUUAUUGGGUUUAAAGGGUGCGCAGGCGGUCUGUUAAGUCAGCGGUCAAAGCCCGGGGCUCAACCCCGGCCCGCCGUUGAAACUGGCAGUCUCGAGUUGGAGAGAAGUAUGCGGAAUGCGCGGUGUAGCGGUGAAAUGCAUAGAUAUCGCGCAGAACUCCGAUUGCGAAGGCAGCAUGCCGGCUCCACACUGACGCUGAGGCACGAAAGCGUGGGUAUCGAACAGGAUUAGAUACCCUGGUAGUCC
This 645-nucleotide ribosomal RNA is filed under the name uncultured bacterium. Its description in RNAcentral is "bacterial SSU rRNA". It matches the Rfam family "Bacterial small subunit ribosomal RNA", at positions 153 to 796 of the family's 1533-position model. The record is from RNAcentral.